Molecule: ribosomal RNA, 435 nt
Filed under: Methylomirabilis oxygeniifera (SeqCode)
Lineage: Bacteria; Methylomirabilota (SeqCode); Methylomirabilia (SeqCode); Methylomirabilales (SeqCode); Methylomirabilaceae (SeqCode)
Description: bacterial SSU rRNA
Rfam family: Bacterial small subunit ribosomal RNA
Source: RNAcentral
CCCGAAAGGGUUGGGUGCCCGCAAGGGACGGCUGCAUAGGUGCUGCAUGGCUGUCGUCAGCUCGUGUCGUGAGAUGUUGGGUUAAGUCCCGCAACGAGCGCAACCCUCACCCCUAGUUGCCACCGGGUAAAGCCGAGCACUCGAGGGGAACUGCCAGCGUCAAGCUGGAGGAAGGCGGGGAUGACGUCAAGUCAUCAUGCCCCUUACGCCCUGGGCUACACACGUGCUACAAUGGCCGGUACAGAGGGAUGCGAGACCGCGAGGUGGAGCUAAACCCAAAAAGCCGGUCUAAGUUCAGAUUGCAGUCUGCAACUCGAACUGCAUGAAGGAGGAAUCGCUAGUAAUCGCGCAUCAGCACGGCGCGGUGAAUACGUUCCCGGGCCUUGUACACACCGCCCGUCACACCACGAAAGCCGGCUGUACUCGAAGUCGCUG